Molecule: long non-coding RNA, 1095 nt
Filed under: Microcebus murinus (gray mouse lemur)
Lineage: Eukaryota; Metazoa; Chordata; Mammalia; Primates; Cheirogaleidae
Description: lncRNA (ENSMICG00000048688.1)
Source: RNAcentral
CGUGCUUCCCACCCACGCUGCUGGGUUGGUCUUCAGCAGCCAAAGGUCGCUUGCCUUGCCUCAGUUAUGCAAGAAGUGACUUUUCUACUGCUAGGAGCUGGUUCAGCAGGACGAGCCCCCGAGUCCUGGGAGGAGAGGGCUGUCCUUUGACGUCAGUGCAGGUCAGUGGCAGGGCUGGUCCUGGAACCCAGACCGAUUUAUGGCAUCUAAGCCGAACUUCGUUCUACAACAUGUGGCAAGACCUCCUUUGCACAGAUGUUCUUGGCUCUGAGGAGGUCGCUCAGCCUGCAGCCUCUCCUCCCCAGGCCUCGGCCAACAGGCAAGGAGGCUGGAGCCAGACCCUGUGCAGGUUCCUCAGGGCCUGGCUCGGUGUUGCAGAGGAACACGGCGCCCAAAGCAGCCUCUGGCCAAGUGGACAUUCGUCCCAAAGCACCAGCAGCUUCUCUUUAGCAGGUCCUGGGACCCUUGGUCCUCUGUCCCCACAUAACUCAGUUUCCCAAUCACACUGUGUGCAGUGGGCUUGCUAGGGCUGGCCCGACAAAGACAGGGGAGUUUCUACUUCUUCUCGGCAGUCGGUGGUCAGCCUGCAGUCUCCAGAGAGUGCCAGUGGCUCAGCCCUAGGACAGCGGCUGCAAUCCCAGCUGCAGGAGCACGAGGACAGAGGAGCCACACACUGGGCAGAUGGGCCACUGAGGAUCCAGCAGGGCAGGAUGGGCCUUUUGUCUGCACUCAUCCCAGAUCGGAUCAGCCUGCUUCCACGUGCAGGGAAAGCCCAGGACCCGGAUGGGGCAGCCCUGUCUCCUGCAGGAGCGCUGCCUGGAUUGGGCGCUGCGGCUCCUACACCCAGGGACAGAACCACGACCACGCGUGUGACACCUCCAAGGACAUCUGGUCUCCCGCUCCUCUGUCUCUCUUGGCCACCAACUCGCCUGUGCUCCCCAGGGCUCCAGUGCUGUCCCGCCAAGGACGGCCCUGCGACCUCGCCCCGCGGACUCGCACCCAUCCAUUUUCUGCAGCUGCAGCCCCGCUUCUCCCCAGAGGCGGAGUGCCCUCACCUCUCCCCUUCCACUGCGCACAGCCCAGCUGAGCCCUCCC